RNAcentral lists this ribosomal RNA (472 nucleotides) under uncultured bacterium. RNAcentral describes it as "partial 16S ribosomal RNA". It matches the Rfam family "Bacterial small subunit ribosomal RNA", at positions 28 to 507 of the family's 1533-position model. The record is from RNAcentral.
GACGAACGCUGGCGGCGUGCUUAACACAUGCAAGUGGAGCGACGAACCAGGGCUUGCCCUGGGGCAGAGCCGCGAACGGGUGAGUAACACGUGGGUAACGUGCCCCGAUGACUGGGACAACCCGGGGAAACCCGGGCUAAUACCGGAUGUGCCCCCUCACAUCAGUGAGGUGUGUAAAGGAAGCUUCGGCCUCCGCAUCGGGAUCGGCCCGCGGCCCAUUAGCUUGUUGGUGAGGUAACGGCUCACCAAGGCUGCGAUGGGUAGCUCGUCUGAGAGGACGACCGGCCCCCUCGGGACUGAGAGACGCCCCAGACGCCUACGGGGGGCAGCUGCGGGGAAUAUUCCACCACGGUCCGGAUCCGGAGCCAGCACCGCCGCGACCGGGAGGACGGCCUGCGGGUUGCAAACCGCAUCCGCCUGUGACCAAGCGUGACUGACGGUAAUGGAUAAAGAAGCACCGGCUAACUACGUG